RNAcentral lists this ribosomal RNA (445 nucleotides) under uncultured bacterium. Its description in RNAcentral is "partial 16S ribosomal RNA". It matches the Rfam family "Bacterial small subunit ribosomal RNA", at positions 354 to 796 of the family's 1533-position model. The record is from RNAcentral.
GUGAGGAAUAUUGCGCAAUGGAGGCAACUCUGACGCAGCCAUGCCGCGUGCAGGAAGAAGGCGCUACGCGUUGUAAACUGCUUUUAACCGGGAAGAAACCCCAGGACGUGUCCUGGGUUGACGGUACCGGAGGAAUAAGCACCGGCUAACUUCGUGCCAGCAGCCGCGGUAAUACGAAGGGUGCAAGCGUUAUCCGGAUUCAUUGGGUUUAAAGGGUGCGUAGGCGGAGCGUUAAGUCAGUGGUGAAAUCCUGCAGCUUAACUGUAGACUUGCCAUGGAUACUGGCGCUCUUGAGUGCGCUGGAAGUGGGCGGAAUGUGCCGUGUAGCGGUGAAAUGCUUAGAUAUGGCACAGAACACCAAUUGCGAAGGCAGCUCACUAAGGCGAUACUGACGCUGAGGCACGAAAGCGUGGGGAUCGAACAGGAUUAGAAACCCUAGUAGUCC